Molecule: long non-coding RNA, 205 nt
Organism: Branchiostoma floridae (Florida lancelet)
Lineage: Eukaryota; Metazoa; Chordata; Leptocardii; Amphioxiformes; Branchiostomatidae
Exons: 3
Source: RefSeq, a predicted model, not a curated record
AUUUCCAGGCCAUGUCCAGCCAUGGCGGCCCCCGCCAAGAUAAGAGACAAGAAGACUCUGGUCUCCCAGACAUGAACGUGGUAUUUGAAGAUGACCGGGACCGGGUGUUUACCGGCGUCCUCCUCAACCCUCAGGAGGGGGUAGGAGUGGUGGGAUAUGCCAUGGAAAACAAUGGAACUAUUGCACCGGGAUUCAACAUCUACGG